This 449-nucleotide ribosomal RNA is filed under the name uncultured prokaryote. Its description in RNAcentral is "bacterial SSU rRNA". It matches the Rfam family "Bacterial small subunit ribosomal RNA", at positions 355 to 796 of the family's 1533-position model. The record is from RNAcentral.
UGGGGAAUAUUGGACAAUGGGGGCAACCCUGAUCCAGCAAUGCCGCGUGUGUGAAGAAGGCCUGCGGGUUGUAAAGCACUUUCAGUAGAGAAGAAAAGCCUAGGGUUAAUACCCCUGAGUCUUGACGUUACCUACAGAAGAAGCACCGGCUAACUCCGUGCCAGCAGCCGCGGUAAUACGGAGGGUGCAAGCGUUAAUCGGAAUUACUGGGCGUAAAGGGCGCGUAGGCGGCUAUUUAAGUCGGGUGUGAAAGCCCCGGGCUCAACCUGGGAAUUGCAUUCGAUACUGGAUGGCUGGAGUGUAGUAGAGGGAAGCGGAAUUCCGGGUGUAGCGGUGAAAUGCGUAGAUAUCCGGAGGAACAUCAGUGGCGAAGGCGGCUUCCUGGACUAACACUGACGCUGAGGCGCGAAAGCGUGGGGAGCAAACAGGAUUAGAUACCCGGGUAGUCC